GAUGAACGCUGGCGGCGUGCUUAACACAUGCAAGUCGAACGAAAAGUGAAGACGGAAACCUUCGUGCGGAAGGCUGUGUUUCGAUUAGCAGACGGGUGAGUAACGCGUGGUUAACCUGCCUCAUACAGGGGGAUAACAGUUGGAAACGACUGUUAAUACCGCAUAAGACGACAGCACCGCAUGGUGCGGGGUUGAAAACUCCGAUGGUAUGAGAUGGACGCGCUUUCGAUUAGACAGUUGGCGGGGUAACGGCACACCAAAGCGACUAGCGGUAGCCGAGCUGUGAGGAUGACUGGACACACUGACACUGAGCCGCGGUACAGACUCUUCCGGGAUGCAGCAGUGGCGGACAUUGCAACGUGGCGGAAGUGAUGAUGGACCGACGCCGCGAGAGCGCAGAUGUAUUUCGGUAUGUAAAGCGUUAUCAGCAGGGCAGAACAUGACGGUACCUGAGCAAGAAGCCCCGGCUAACUACGUG
RNAcentral lists this ribosomal RNA (478 nucleotides) under uncultured bacterium. RNAcentral's name for it is "partial 16S ribosomal RNA". It matches the Rfam family "Bacterial small subunit ribosomal RNA", at positions 28 to 507 of the family's 1533-position model. The record is from RNAcentral.